Molecule: ribosomal RNA, 401 nt
Filed under: uncultured fungus
Lineage: Eukaryota; Fungi
Description: SSU rRNA
Rfam family: Eukaryotic small subunit ribosomal RNA
Source: RNAcentral
GCAAGUCUGGUGCCAGCAGCCGCGGUAAUUCCAGCUCCAAUAGCGUAUAUUAAAGUUGUUGUGGUUAAAAGGCUCGUAGUUGAACCUUGGGCCUGGCUGGCCGGUCCGCCUCACCGCGUGUACUGGUCCGGCCGGGCCUUUCCCUCUGUGGAACCCCAUGCCCUUCACUGGGUGUGGCGGGGAAACAGGACUUUUACUUUGAAAAAAUUAGAGUGCUCCAGGCAGGCCUAUGCUCGAAUACAUUAGCAUGGAAUAAUAGAAUAGGACGUGUGGUUCUAUUUUGUUGGUUUCUAGGACCGCCGUAAUGAUUAAUAGGGACAGUCGGGGGCAUCAGUAUUCAAUUGUCAGAGGUGAAAUUCUUGGAUUUAUUGAAGACUAACUACUGCGAAAGCAUUUGCCAA